This 62-nucleotide transfer RNA is filed under the name Daboia russelii (Russell's viper). Its description in RNAcentral is "tRNA-Lys". Lineage: Eukaryota; Metazoa; Chordata; Lepidosauria; Squamata; Viperidae. The record is from RNAcentral.
CACUAAGAAGCUUAUACAGCAUCAACCUUUUAAGUUGGAGAGGAAUCAUUGUUCCUUAGUGA